GACGUAGGGCGCGAGCGUUGUCCGGAUUUAUUGGGCGUAAAGAGCUCGUAGGCGGCUUGUCGCGUCAACUGUGAAAACCCGUGGCUCAACCAUGUGGUCUGCAGUCGAUACGGGCAGGCUAGAAUUCGGUAGGGGAGACUGGAAUUCCUGGUGUAGCGGUGAAAUGCGCAGAUAUCAGGAGGAACACCGAUGGCGAAGGCAGAUCUCUGGGCCGUAACUGACGCUGAGGAGCGAAAGCAUGGGGAGCGAACAGG
This 254-nucleotide ribosomal RNA is filed under the name uncultured bacterium. RNAcentral describes it as "partial 16S ribosomal RNA". It matches the Rfam family "Bacterial small subunit ribosomal RNA", at positions 524 to 776 of the family's 1533-position model. The record is from RNAcentral.